RNAcentral lists this ribosomal RNA (407 nucleotides) under uncultured bacterium. Its description in RNAcentral is "partial 16S ribosomal RNA". It matches the Rfam family "Bacterial small subunit ribosomal RNA", at positions 28 to 526 of the family's 1533-position model. The record is from RNAcentral.
GACGAACGCUGGCGGCGUGCCUAAUACAUGCAAGUAGGACGCAGUUGCGAACGGGUGAGUAACGCGUAGGUAACUGCCUAUUAGAGGGGGAUAACUAUUGGAAACGAUAGCUAAUACCGCAUACUAGUAGAUGGACCUGCGUUGUAUUAGCUAGUAGGUAGGGUAAUGGCCUACCUAGGCGACGAUACAUAGCCGAGCGGGGAGGGUGAUCGGCCAAAGUGGGACUGGAGCAAGGGCCCGGAUCCCACGGGAGGGCGCAGUAGGGAAACUUCGGAAAUGGGGGGAACCCUGGUCGCGCAACUGCGCGUGAUUGGAGAAGGUGUUCGGGUCGUAAAGCUCUGUUGUUAAGGAAGCGGUACUUAACCAGAAAGGGACGGCUAACUACGUGCCAGCAGCCGCGGUAAUUC